This 253-nucleotide ribosomal RNA is filed under the name uncultured bacterium. RNAcentral's name for it is "partial 16S ribosomal RNA". It matches the Rfam family "Bacterial small subunit ribosomal RNA", at positions 524 to 776 of the family's 1533-position model. The record is from RNAcentral.
UACGGAAGGGGCUAGCGAUAUUCGGAAUUACUGGGCGUAAAGAGCGCGUAGGCGGCUUACCAAGUUGGGGGUGAAAUCCCGGGGCUCAACUCCGGAACUGCCUUCAAAACUGGUAGGCUCGAGUCCGGAAGAGGGGCGUGGAAUUCCCGGUGUAGAGGUGAAAUUCGUAGAUAUUGGGAAGAACACCGGUGGCGAAGGCGGCGCCCUGGUCCGUUACUGACGCUGAGACACGAAAGCGUGGGGAGCAAACAGG